AUCCAAGUGAUGAGUUCCAAAUUGGACGAAACGCGCGUGCUGGAC
Molecule: non-coding RNA, 45 nt
Filed under: Schistosoma margrebowiei
Lineage: Eukaryota; Metazoa; Platyhelminthes; Trematoda; Strigeidida; Schistosomatidae
Source: RNAcentral